GAGGAAGGGAGGAACAAGAGCAGAGUAAUACAAGGGAGAAUGUGGCGCUGCCUCAGUGCUCCUGCUGCUAGGUGGUCGUUAGUGCACUGCUCUGACCCUUGGAUUCAUCCUGUGCUUGCACCGCUUCAUCAUCAAAAAUGAAUGUUUAUCCCUACGUUCCCAGGCCUAAUCUCUGUGAAGCCAGAAGCAUCAGAGCCCAGCACCAGAGCCAGAAGCAGCUGCCACGAGGCUUUCUGCAAUCAGUGAACUACAUACAUGUACAAAAUUGGCUAACAGGUUUUCCUUCUGCCCUGUUAUUCAGAAGUCCCCGCUGUCAGGCUUUCUUAGGGAUCUGCUGGCCAGCUGAAUUGGAUAGAUGGCAAGAAGCUGCUUGAGCGUGUACAGAAGUCAUGCAUUCAUCCAUAGACAUCUGCUUUAUUCCUUUGUAGACUCACGCAGCACGACUGCCGGGAGAGUAAGAGAAGGAGGUUGAUGGUUGAGAAUAACUAACUCCUUUCCAGGCUUUUUUCCUCACUCCUUCUAUUACAGACUUUCCUAGACAUCCUACAAGCCACUCUCUGCUGAGAUUUCAUUUUUCCUUGUUGAAAUCUUACCAUCGUAAUCCAUCUGAAAGGAGGAUUUUUUUUUUUUGCCAUUGUCUUGAAGAACUGAAGAGUCUUCCUGUGGACACAACUUGUUUUACUUUACCAGACACAGCCAGGAGAGAUUGCAACUUUCUAAUCCAAGAUGCAAAGUCCCACAGCAAAAACAAUGACUUCUACCUGAAAUAGUAUUUGACAGAUUACAAAACCGAUGCUGAUGCAAAUUACGGAUAAGUAAUGUAAUCAAUGUUAGCACAAAGAGGUCUACAACAAAGCUGUGAAAGGAAUUAUUCCCUCUUACUGUAUUAAACACAGGCCCUUCCAGCUACUGCAGUCUCCUGAAGACCUAAGUUAAGAAUUGUCUAAAAGCAUGUAACUCUCAGAAUGUAUCCUCACACAUGAGAGAUGAUUUGGUGCAUUUCUGCUGUAGAAGCUCGUAAAAAUAGCAUUAAAAGAUAUUUUCAAAAACAGCACUCUUUUUACUGUAAAAAGCAAAUUUUUAAAACAUUUAAUUAAGGUGAUAGAAAUUCACACUUAAUACUCCUGUCUCAAAGAAUCAAAAAGUAGGCAAAAACAUGCAAUAUCAUGUUUUUGGUUAGGUAAACACUGUCGCCUAGAAGCUUGCUCAGAACCAGGAAUCCCAUGACGGAAAAAGUGGUUCAAUAAAAAGGUGAAAAUUGUUCCUCCUUUACAACAUGACGUAUGUACUGACUGUACUGACUUGUUCAGAAAAGCUCUUAAGUAAAGGAAAUCAUACUGAAAACAAAGUACAAGCAUUUGGCAUAAUAUAAGCUUUACUGUAAACCCAGUGAAAGCAAUGAAAAAAUAUAUUGCUCAAAUCAUAUUAACAGCUACCCCUCUACUGCCUCAGAAGUUACAAUAUAUCACCUAUUCUUUCAUGGCUGUAUACCCAUAUGUUUAUGCACUCACGUUUUGUAUAUAUGGAAAAAUAAAGAACUCCAUUUUAUUGCCAAAAAUUUCUGCACACUUUCCAUUCUCUCCUACACUGUUGAGUCAUGCAGAUGAAAGGAUGACAUAGGUACUGUGUUGGGAUCACCACUUUUCCUAUCCACAUGGCAGAUAAAGGGAGGAACACUAAAUGGGGCAUAACUCGGAGCUAAAUUAAAUGGGUUUCUUGAUGUGGGAAAAAUGCUCAUCAGGUACCUUCUUGGUAGAUGAAUGCUAAAUUUUCAGAUAACACUGUGAUGAGUCAUCUCAGCAUGAUUCUGCUCCUACCCUCUAAAACUGGUCUGAGAAGAGUUUGCCAAUGAGUAGCUUGACCACGUUACUUCCUACUUCUUUCAUUUUCUUGGAUGGAAAGAUGAAGACUAUCCUGAUUUAUGUCUGAAAAAUAUCUUGUGCUUCUCACAG
Molecule: long non-coding RNA, 1952 nt
Organism: Gallus gallus (chicken)
Lineage: Eukaryota; Metazoa; Chordata; Aves; Galliformes; Phasianidae
Source: Ensembl